UACGGGGGGGGCUAGCGUUGUUCGGAAUUACUGGGCGUAAAGGGCGCGUAGGCGGUUUAUUAAGUUGGAUAUGAAAACUCUGGGCUUAACCCAGAGCCUGCAUUCAAAACUGAUAGGCUAGAGUUCUGGAGGGGAUAGCGGAAUUCCUGGUGUAGCGGUGAAAUGCGUAGAUAUCAGGAGGAACACCGGUGGCGAAGGCGGCUAUCUGGACAGAAACUGACGCUGAGGCGCGAAAGCUAGGGGAGCAAACAGG
RNAcentral lists this ribosomal RNA (253 nucleotides) under uncultured bacterium. Its description in RNAcentral is "partial 16S ribosomal RNA". It matches the Rfam family "Bacterial small subunit ribosomal RNA", at positions 524 to 776 of the family's 1533-position model. The record is from RNAcentral.